This 72-nucleotide transfer RNA is filed under the name Fusobacterium naviforme. RNAcentral's name for it is "tRNA-Trp(cca)". It matches the Rfam family "tRNA". From Rfam's summary of the family: Transfer RNA (tRNA) molecules are approximately 80 nucleotides in length. Their secondary structure includes four short double-helical elements and three loops (D, anti-codon, and T loops). Lineage: Bacteria; Fusobacteriati; Fusobacteriota; Fusobacteriia; Fusobacteriales; Fusobacteriaceae. The record is from RNAcentral.
AGAGGAAUAGUUCAGUGGUAGAACGUUGGUCUCCAAAACCGAAGACGGGAGUUCGAGCCUCUCUUCCUCUGC